This 442-nucleotide ribosomal RNA is filed under the name uncultured bacterium. Its description in RNAcentral is "bacterial SSU rRNA". It matches the Rfam family "Bacterial small subunit ribosomal RNA", at positions 338 to 795 of the family's 1533-position model. The record is from RNAcentral.
CCUACGGGGGGCUGCAGUGAGGAAUCUUCCACAAUGGGCGAAAGCCUGAUGGAGCAACGCCGCGUGCAGGAUGAAGGCCUUCGGGUCGUAAACUGCUUUUAUUAGUGAAGAAUAUGACUGUAACUAGUGAAUAAGGGUCGGCUAACUACGUGCCAGCAGCCGCGGUCAUACGUAGGACCCAAGCGUUAUCCGGAGUGACUGGGCGUAAAGAGUUGCGUAGGUGGUUAUAUAAGUGAAUAGUGAAAUCUGGCGGCUCAACCGUACAGGCUAUUAUUCAAACUGUAUAACUCGAGAAUGGUAGAGGUAACUGGAAUUUCUUGUGUAGGAGUGAAAUCCGUAGAUAUAAGAAGGAACACCAAUGGCGUAGGCAGGUUACUGGACCAUUUCUGACACUGAGGCACGAAAGCGUGGGGAGCGAACCGGAUUAGAUACCCCUGUAGUC